GACAGGACAGCCAAGGACAUAAGGAGGGGAGAGGUCAGAGGAUGUUGGGGAGGUCCUCAGAAGCCAGGUCAUGCAGGAGCUUGGAGUCAUGUUGAGGAAUAAGGAUUUCAUCCUGCAGUUUCUGGCACGGAACCUCCAAAAGAUGUUCAUACUUAGAAAUGCUUGCAGGAUCACUCCAUGGUAUGCUACACACCUAUCAAAAGCAGAAAUGAGGGGAUUUUGACUGUGGACAGACAACAAGGGAUGGAAGCCUAAGGACAGGAGAGGACACUAACUGACUGAAAUGAGAGUGGCAGCUGGUCCUUAAGAUCCACAGCACCAAAGUGGAACACAUUGUCUUCCUCUCAGAACAAAUUCCUCCUCCUUCUCACAUUCUCAUUUCUGUUAAUGGAAUCCUGUUCUGUUAAUCUUCUGAUCUGCUGGACUGUACACUGGAAGUCAUCAUGUGCUUCUCACACCCUCCUAAGUCCUGCACACAUAGUCAUCAAGGACUCCUAGUUAAUCCUCCAUCCCAUCUCUAGCUGCCUGACGAAUGUCUUGCCAGGCUUAUGACACUCUGCUGUAGGCAGUUACGGUGGGGGUGCAGUGGGGCCAUUCUGCCUUAGCUGUCCUACCAGGUGGGUGGCUGUAUGGGUUUCCUUGCAGAUUGCUGGGAUUGCCCUGGGAGUGCUUCUGUGAAUUGGGUUAUGAGACUCUACUCUUACAAGACUCUGCCUCUCCCCAACCCUGGAAUAAAAAAUUCUGUUCGAUGCAAUGCAAUGCCACUACAUGCCACUUUUAAAAGCAAAGCAGAAAUAGAGGGCUUUGUUUAAUAGAUUCAAGGCUUACAGGAACUGUUAACAGUCCUC
Microcebus murinus (gray mouse lemur) is the source of this 848-nucleotide non-coding RNA. NCBI's taxonomy places the organism in Eukaryota, Metazoa, Chordata, Mammalia, Primates, Cheirogaleidae. The record is from RefSeq and is a predicted model, not a curated record.